CACCAUGCCCAACUAAUUUUUUGUAUUUUUAGUAGAUAUGGGGUUUUACCAUGUUGACCAGGAUGGUCUCGAUCUCUUGACCUCGUGAUCCACUCGCCUCGGCCUCCCAAAGUGCUGGGAUUACAGGCUUGAGCCACCGCGCCCGGCCUAGAACUUAUUCUUGUAUCAACUGUAUUUUUGUAUCCAUUAACCAACUUUUCUAAAUUUUCUACUCCCCCCUUCCCUACCCAGCCUCUGGGAACACCUUUUUACUCUGCCUCCAUGAGAUCCGUUUUUUGGUUUUUUUUUUUAGGUCUCACAUAUGAGUGAGAACAUUCCAUAUUUGUCUUUCUGUGCUUGGCCUAUUUCGGGUUGCUGAAUUUUCUUAUUUCCCCAGAAGAGGGAUGCCAUGCCCAGCAACUCCCAGAUAUCAGAUCACAACACUGAACUCCAAACUGAGUGGCAGAGCAAGACUCUGUCUCAAAACCAAAAAAAAAAAAAUAAAAGUAAAAUGAAAUAAGGUUGACUUUUUUUUUAAGUUGUAAAGUGUCUCUUUACAACUUUUUUUUUUUUUAAUCUGGUGUGAAAGGCUCAGGGAGACAAUUCUUUUUAUUGUCAAGGGCCAAGAAACAAAGUGUAGAAAUACUAUACACAGUGGUCAUAAGCUACAAGAUAGGAGUGAG
Molecule: long non-coding RNA, 662 nt
Filed under: Callithrix jacchus (white-tufted-ear marmoset)
Lineage: Eukaryota; Metazoa; Chordata; Mammalia; Primates; Cebidae
Description: lncRNA (ENSCJAG00000085917.1)
Source: RNAcentral